This is a regulatory RNA element of Flavobacteriaceae bacterium, 38 nucleotides long. It matches the Rfam family "DUF805b RNA". From Rfam's summary of the family: Bacteroidetes, Chlorobi (1 example), Proteobacteria. Lineage (Flavobacteria) Lineage: Bacteria; Pseudomonadati; Bacteroidota; Flavobacteriia; Flavobacteriales; Flavobacteriaceae. The record is from Rfam.
AAGGAGGUAACUGAAAAUCCUAUUUAAUAGAGUAGGUA